GAUGAAGAACGUAGCGAAAUGCGAUAAGUAAUGUGAAUUGCAGAAUUCAGUGAAUCAUCGAAUCUUUGAGCGCACAUUGCGCCCGCCAGUAUUCUGGCGGGCAUGCCUGUCUGAGCGUCAUUUCAACCCUCAUGCCCCUAGGGCGUGGUGUUGGGGAUCGGCCAAAGCCCGCGAGGGACGGCCGGCCCCUAAAUCUAGUGGCGGACCCGUCGUGGCCUCCUCUGCGAAGUAGUGAUAUUCCGCAUCGGAGAGCGACGAGCCCCUGCCGUUAAACCCCCAACUUUCCAAGGUUGACCUCAGAUCAGGUAGGAAUACCCGCUGAACUUAAGCAUAUCAAUAAGCGGAGGA
This 348-nucleotide unclassified non-coding RNA is filed under the name soil metagenome. RNAcentral describes it as "partial contains 5.8S ribosomal RNA, internal transcribed spacer 2, and large subunit ribosomal RNA". The stretch from base 1 to 120 matches the Rfam family "5.8S ribosomal RNA", at positions 35 to 154 of the family's 154-position model. The record is from RNAcentral.